This 253-nucleotide ribosomal RNA is filed under the name uncultured bacterium. RNAcentral's name for it is "partial 16S ribosomal RNA". It matches the Rfam family "Bacterial small subunit ribosomal RNA", at positions 524 to 776 of the family's 1533-position model. The record is from RNAcentral.
UACGAAGGGUGCAAGCGUUAAUCGGAAUUACUGGGCGUAAAGCGCGCGCAGGAGGUUCAGUAAGUUGGAAGUGAAAUCCCCGGGCUCAACCUGGGAACUGCUUUCAAAACUGCUGAGCUAGAGUACGGUAGAGGGUGGUGGAAUUUCCUGUGUAGCGGUGAAAUGCGUAGAUAUAGGAAGGAACACCAGUGGCGAAGGCGACCACCUGGACUGAUACUGACACUGAGGUGCGAAAGCGUGGGGAGCAAACAGG